CGAAUAGGUAAAUGGACGGCGAG
This 23-nucleotide non-coding RNA is filed under the name Arabidopsis thaliana (thale cress). Lineage: Eukaryota; Viridiplantae; Streptophyta; Magnoliopsida; Brassicales; Brassicaceae. The record is from RNAcentral.